AUCACCUGGGGAUUUUGUUUUUAAAAUGCAGAUUCUGAUUCAGGAGAUCUGGGGUAAAACCUGAGAUCCUGCAUUUCUAACAAGCUCCCAGGUGAUGCUGC
This 101-nucleotide microRNA precursor is filed under the name Loxodonta africana (African savanna elephant). RNAcentral describes it as "mir-544 microRNA precursor family". It matches the Rfam family "mir-544 microRNA precursor family". Lineage: Eukaryota; Metazoa; Chordata; Mammalia; Proboscidea; Elephantidae. The record is from Rfam by way of RNAcentral.